UUAACUAUUGUAUAGUACUCAGACGACGUAUAUUGUAGAGUUGGAUUAUCCUUUGGCGGUCACGCACCAGUCAGGGACUGAGUGGCAUCACACAUGGCGAAGCGGACCGCCAAAGCAACAAAGGUAAGGUAUACAAGGGUGGAGGUCUACCCCGAGGGGCAUGAACUCUGUAAUGAUCCUUCCGCAGGUUCACCUACGGAAA
This 202-nucleotide unclassified non-coding RNA is filed under the name uncultured fungus. RNAcentral describes it as "sequence contains ITS1". Lineage: Eukaryota; Fungi. The record is from RNAcentral.